This is a non-coding RNA of Coffea arabica (coffee), 522 nucleotides long. The record is from RefSeq and is a predicted model, not a curated record. Lineage: Eukaryota; Viridiplantae; Streptophyta; Magnoliopsida; Gentianales; Rubiaceae.
AAGAACACCUACAUCUGGUGCCAAUUUGAGUUCAACUACUGUUGUUGCUCCCACCAGCGUACCAUGUACAAGUUCAAAAGCAACCACUUCAGUAACAACUAAAAGACCAAGAACCAAGUUGGGUGAUGCUAAAACUGGAAGUUCUAAAACCAAUUCAGGUGCUACUAAAACUGGAAUGGUUCAAACCAAGAGUAUUAGAUUUGGAGAUGCUGUGUUUUCUACCCAAGGAUCUUCAACUGCUGCAACUGGACGUUCAACAGUUAUGCGCACACCUGAAUGUGUUUUGAUGUGAAAUGGUGUUGCUGUUGCUAUUUUUGUCAUUACUAGUAUUUGAAGUUACCUUUGCAGCAAUGUUAGAAAUGCUGAUGUUGUUUUUCUUUUCCCAUUAUUUGGACAUGUUCUAGAAUCAUGUUUUGGCUGGGUUCUACUAAAAUGGCCUUUGUUUGGGUGGCCAUGCAGACACAUGCUAAGAUGUAAUCUGAUGUGUAAAAUACUUUUAACUUAAUAUAAUUUUCUUUCAUA